RNAcentral lists this small nuclear RNA (89 nucleotides) under Sus scrofa (pig). RNAcentral describes it as "U5 spliceosomal RNA (ENSSSCG00030008465.1)". It matches the Rfam family "U5 spliceosomal RNA". Rfam says of the family: U5 RNA is a component of both types of known spliceosome. The precise function of this molecule is unknown, though it is known that the 5' loop is required for splice site selection and p220 binding, and that both the 3' stem-loop and the Sm site are important for Sm protein binding and cap methylation. Lineage: Eukaryota; Metazoa; Chordata; Mammalia; Artiodactyla; Suidae. The record is from RNAcentral.
UACUCAUGUUUCUCUUCAAAUCAUAUAAAUCUUUCGCCUUUUACUAAAAACUUCCGAGAGGAGGAAAAAAAAAAGAUAUAUAGCAAAAG